Molecule: ribosomal RNA, 899 nt
Filed under: Streptococcus mutans
Lineage: Bacteria; Bacillati; Bacillota; Bacilli; Lactobacillales; Streptococcaceae
Description: bacterial SSU rRNA
Rfam family: Bacterial small subunit ribosomal RNA
Source: RNAcentral
AGGUCCCCGAGCGUUGUCCGGAUUUAUUGGGCGUAAAGGGAGCGCAGGCGGUCAGGAAAGUCUGGAGUAAAAGGCUAUGGCUCAACCAUAGUGUGCUCUGGAAACUGUCUGACUUGAGUGCAGAAGGGGAGAGUGGAAUUCCAUGUGUAGCGGUGAAAUGCGUAGAUAUAUGGAGGAACACCAGUGGCGAAAGCGGCUCUCUGGUCUGUCACUGACGCUGAGGCUCGAAAGCGUGGGUAGCGAACAGGAUUAGAUACCCUGGUAGUCCACGCCGUAAACGAUGAGUGCUAGGUGUUAGGCCCUUUCCGGGGCUUAGUGCCGGAGCUAACGCAAUAAGCACUCCGCCUGGGGAGUACGACCGCAAGGUUGAAACUCAAAGGAAUUGACGGGGGCCCGCACAAGCGGUGGAGCAUGUGGUUUAAUUCGAAGCAACGCGAAGAACCUUACCAGGUCUUGACAUCCCGAUGCUAUUCUUAGAGAUAGGAAGUUACUUCGGUACAUCGGAGACAGGUGGUGCAUGGUUGUCGUCAGCUCGUGUCGUGAGAUGUUGGGUUAAGUCCCGCAACGAGCGCAACCCUUAUUGUUAGUUGCCAUCAUUAAGUUGGGCACUCUAGCGAGACUGCCGGUAAUAAACCGGAGGAAGGUGGGGAUGACGUCAAAUCAUCAUGCCCCUUAUGACCUGGGCUACACACGUGCUACAAUGGUCGGUACAACGAGUUGCGAGCCGGUGACGGCAAGCUAAUCUCUGAAAGCCGAUCUCAGUUCGGAUUGGAGGCUGCAACUCGCCUCCAUGAAGUCGGAAUCGCUAGUAAUCGCGGAUCAGCACGCCGCGGUGAAUACGUUCCCGGGCCUUGUACACACCGCCCGUCACACCACGAGAGUUUGUAACACCCGAAGUC